GAUGAACGCUGGCGGCGUGCCUAAUACAUGCAAGUCGAGCGAACAGACGAGGAGCUUGCUCCUCUGACGUUAGCGGCGGACGGGUGAGUAACACGUGGAUAACCUACCUAUAAGACUGGGAUAACUUCGGGAAACCGGAGCUAAUACCGGAUAAUAUAUUGAACCGCAUGGUUCAAUAGUGAAAGACGGUUUUGCUGUCACUUCUAGAUGGAUCCGCGCCGCAUUAGCUAGUUGGUAAGGUAACGGCUUACCAAGGCGACGAUGCGUAGCCGACCUGAGAGGGUGAUCGGCCACACUGGAACUGAGACACGGUCCAGACUCCUACGGGAGGCAGCAGUAGGGAAUCUGCCGCAAUGGGCGAAAGCCUGACGGAGCAACGCCGCGUGAGUGAUGAAGGUCUUCGGAUCGUAAAACUCUGUUAUUAGGGAAGAACAAAUGUGUAAGUAACUAUGCACGUCUUGACGGUACCUAAUCAGAAAGCCACGGCUAACUACGUG
This 497-nucleotide ribosomal RNA is filed under the name uncultured bacterium. Its description in RNAcentral is "partial 16S ribosomal RNA". It matches the Rfam family "Bacterial small subunit ribosomal RNA", at positions 28 to 507 of the family's 1533-position model. The record is from RNAcentral.